RNAcentral lists this transfer RNA (54 nucleotides) under Lecomtella madagascariensis. RNAcentral's name for it is "transfer RNA-fM". The record is from RNAcentral. Lineage: Eukaryota; Viridiplantae; Streptophyta; Magnoliopsida; Poales; Poaceae.
AUCGAACCCGUAACCUCAAGGUUAUGAGCUUUGUGAGCUACCAAACAGCUCUAC